AGCAGCCGCGGUAAUUCCAGCUCCAAUAGCGUAUAUUAAAGUUGUUGCAGUUAAAAAGCUCGUAGUUGAAUUUCGGGGUUAGUAGGUUGGUCAUGCCUCUGGUAUGUACUGGUCUCACUGAUUCCUCCUUCCUGAUGAACCUUAAUGCCAUUAAUUUGGUGUUUUGGGGAAUUUGGACUGUUACUUUGAAAAAAUUAGAGUGUUUAAAGCAAGCUAACGCUUGAAUACAUUAGCAUGGAAUAAUGAAAUAGGACGUUCGAUCCUAUUUUGUUGGUUUCUAGGAUUGACGUAAUGAUUAAUAGGGAUAGUUGGGGGCAUCAGUAUUCAAUUGUCAGAGGUGAAAUUCUUGGAUUUAUUGAAGACUAACUACUGCGAAAGCAUUUGCCAAGGAUGUUUUCAUUAAUCAAGAACGAAAGUUAGGGGAUCGAAGACGAUCAGAUACCGUCGUAGUCUUAACCAUAAACUAUGCCGACUAGGGGUCGGAUGAUGUUAAUUUUUAAUGACUCAUUCGGCGUCUUAC
RNAcentral lists this ribosomal RNA (520 nucleotides) under uncultured Glomus. RNAcentral's name for it is "SSU rRNA". It matches the Rfam family "Eukaryotic small subunit ribosomal RNA", at positions 569 to 1091 of the family's 1831-position model. Lineage: Eukaryota; Fungi; Glomeromycota; Glomeromycetes; Glomerales; Glomeraceae. The record is from RNAcentral.